Epinephelus fuscoguttatus (brown-marbled grouper) is the source of this 314-nucleotide long non-coding RNA. RefSeq lists it as uncharacterized. NCBI's taxonomy places the organism in Eukaryota, Metazoa, Chordata, Actinopteri, Perciformes, Serranidae. The record is from RefSeq and is a predicted model, not a curated record. The transcript is spliced from 3 exons.
CAUGGUCAGUCUCCUUCAUAAGGAUGUCAGUUCAGACUGGAUUCACUGCAACUUGCAAACUCAAAACACUCAGAGGAAAACUGAAGGCAGCGGUGGCUUGAGAGCAUCCACCAGAUACCACUCUCCAACCAACAGUUGUUUUUUAGAUUCAUCGACCCUGUGAGCGACAAGAGAGAAGAGCCAGAACAAUGAUGCACACAGACACACAGAGCUUGAUAUGCGAACAGUGAACUGUUAUGAAUGACCUUGUUACGGCCUUGAGCCGUGGGCACUGUUUCUCCACUCUGGUGUGUGUUCUAUCCCGCUGUGUUGCA